UCGAUUAAAGAGCAAGUAACAUUAAAAUAAUAUUUAAAGUUUGAUUCUUGCUUGUAUGUUUCUCAGGAGUACGAUCUACAUGUGCUAUGUUCCUAUAAAGUUUAGUGAGCAGUAGAUAAUAUUAUUAUUAAAGUUAUAUUUAAUGUAGCUUACCCUCGUCUUUGAUAGAAGCCGUGCCAGCGAUUGCGGUUAUACGGCUGAAGCUAGAAACUUUUUGGUAAAAUAGAGUCAAAUUGAAAAAUUAAACCUGUAUAGGCCCUUGCUGAUUGCGGGUAAAAUUUAAAAUCUGCUCAUUGCAAUUAGAGUUUAAUCUGUAUUGAACGCUUCUUAAAGUGUGGAAAUAAACCCGGAUUAGAUACCCGGCUAUCCCACUGUAAAAAUUUUACCUGGGGAUUACAAGGUAUUUAGAAAACUAAAGGAUUUGGCGGUACUCUACUCUAAUCAGAGGAACUUGUCCUGUAAUCGACAACCCUCGAAAAGUUUACUCCCCUUCCUUAAUUUGCAUACCGCUGUCGCCAGAAGGCUUCUAGAGAUACGGCCUUCUUCUUUUAAAAUCUAAUGGACGUCAAGUCAAGGUGCAGUUUAUAGGGGAGAGUGCAUUGAUGAGUUACAUUAAAUUUAUUUAUACGGUAAUAGGCUGGAAUAAAAUCUAUUUUAAGGUGGAUUUGUCUGUAAAUUUAUAUCAUUGUGAUAAUUUGAAGCUAGCGCUAGAGUGUGCACACAUCGCCCGUCGCUCUCUCCACGCAGGCGAGAUAAGUCGUAACAUAGUAGGUGUAUUGGAAAAUGUACCUGGUUUUAU
This 799-nucleotide non-coding RNA is filed under the name Antrokoreana gracilipes. Lineage: Eukaryota; Metazoa; Arthropoda; Diplopoda; Julida; Nemasomatidae. The record is from RNAcentral.